Molecule: ribosomal RNA, 469 nt
Filed under: uncultured Actinomyces sp.
Lineage: Bacteria; Bacillati; Actinomycetota; Actinomycetes; Actinomycetales; Actinomycetaceae
Description: bacterial SSU rRNA
Rfam family: Bacterial small subunit ribosomal RNA
Source: RNAcentral
GACGAACGCUGGCGGCGUGCUUAACACAUGCAAGUCGAACGCUGAUGGCCCAGCUUGCUGGGUUGGAUGAGUGGCGAACGGGUGAGUAACACGUGAGUAACCUGCCCUCUUCUUUGGGAUAACGGUCGGAAACGGCUGCUAAUACCGGGUAUUCACUGUCCUUCGCAUGGGGGGUGGUGGAAAGGUUUUUUUCUGGUGGGGGAUGGGCUCGCGGCCUAUCAGCUUGUUGGUGGGGUGAUGGCUUACCAAGGCUUUGACGGGUAACCGGCCUGAGAGGGUGACCGGUCACAUUGGGACUGAGAUACGGCCCAGACUCCUACGGGAGGCAGCAGUGGGGAAUAUUGCACAAUGGGCGAAAGCCUGAUGCAGCGACGCCGCGUGAGGGAUGGAGGCCUUCGGGUUGUAAACCUCUUUCGCUCAUGGUCAAGCCGCAACUGUGGUUGUGGUGAGGGUAGUGGGUAAAGAAGCA